AUGGCUGUCGUCAGCUCGUGUCGUGAGAUGUUGGGUUAAGUCCCGCAACGAGCGCAACCCCUGUCCCAUGUUGCCAGCGUGAAAGACGGGGACUCAUGGGAGACUGCCGGUGACAAAUCGGAGGAAGGUGGGGAUGACGUCAAGUCAGCAUGACCCUUAUGUCUAGGGCUACACACGUGCUACAUUGGCCGGUACAAAGGGCUGCAAACCCGCGAGGGGGAGCGAAUCCCAAAAAGCCGGUCCCGGUUCGGAUUGGAGGCUGAAACUCGCCUCCAUGAAGUCGGAGUUGCUAGUAAUCGCGAAUCAGCAACGUCGCGGUGAAUACGUUCCCGGGCCUUGUACACACCGCCCGUCACACCACGAAAGUCGGCAAUACCCGAAGCCGGUGGCCUAACCCGUAAGGGAGGGAGCCGUCGAAGGUAGGGUUGAUGAUUGGGGUGAAGUCGUAACAAGGUAGCCGUAGCGGAAGCUGCGGCUGGAUCACCUCCUUUCUAGGGAUACCGGAUGCAAAUAUUUCCGGUAGGCGCUCGGCCAGUUCAGAUGGCAAAAGCCAGUAUGGAAACGCACCACCCGUGAGUAAUCACAGCACUUGUGAGCACACACGGGGCCGUCCUGUUCCCGAGUUCGCCUAGAACGAACGUCGACCUCGACGAACGCUGUUGAGUUUUGAGAGACCGUGCCGGCCCGCUCUUUAGCGGGCCAUUUCGGUUGUUCUCGGUAGGGCGGAGUAGCUCCGCGCGCACCUUGAAAACUCCAUAGCAGUAACUAGCGAGUUCUUCACGAUCAAGAGACUAAGAGCACACGGUGGAUGCCUUGGCGCCAAGAGCCGAAGAAGGACGUGGGCGGCUGCGAUAAGCUCGGGUGAGGUGCUGACCAACCUUUGACCCCGAGAUUUCCGAAUGGGGAAACCCGG
Molecule: small RNA, 913 nt
Filed under: uncultured Rubrobacteria bacterium
Lineage: Bacteria; Bacillati; Actinomycetota; Rubrobacteria
Description: bacterial SSU rRNA
Rfam family: Bacterial small subunit ribosomal RNA (bases 1-491)
Source: RNAcentral